AGCGAACGCUGGCGGCAGGCCUAACACAUGCAAGUCGAACGAACCUUUCGGGGUUAGUGGCGGACGGGUGAGUAACACGUGGGAACGUGCCUUUAGGUUCGGAAUAACUCAGGGAAACUUGUGCUAAUACCGAAUGUGCCCUUCGGGGGAAAGAUUAAUCGCCUUUAGAGCGGCCCGCGUCUGAUUAGCUAGUUGGUUGAGGUAAUGGCUCACCAAGGCGACGAUCAGUAGCUGGUCUGAGAGGAUGAUCAGCCACAUUGGGACUGAGACACGGCCCAAACUCCUACGGGAGGCAGCAGUGGGGAAUCUUGCGCAAUGGGCGAAGCCUGACGCAGCCAUGCCGCGUGAAUGAUGAAGGUCUUAGGAUUGUAAAAUUCUUUCACCGGGGACGAUAAUGACGGUACCCGGAGAAGAAGCCCCGGCUAACUUCGUG
This 433-nucleotide ribosomal RNA is filed under the name uncultured bacterium. RNAcentral describes it as "partial 16S ribosomal RNA". It matches the Rfam family "Bacterial small subunit ribosomal RNA", at positions 29 to 507 of the family's 1533-position model. The record is from RNAcentral.